RNAcentral lists this small RNA (330 nucleotides) under Arabidopsis thaliana (thale cress). RNAcentral describes it as "ATSL146850". The record is from RNAcentral. Lineage: Eukaryota; Viridiplantae; Streptophyta; Magnoliopsida; Brassicales; Brassicaceae.
AAUCUAAUCAAUCCAAUUUGAGAGAGAAGUCAUAACUUUUUUAACACAUUGUUGACUUAAGUAUCUUCUAAAGAUAUAUUCAAAUCAGAUUUAUUUUCUAACUAUAAAUUACAAAAAUGUUAAUUAAAGAUUUCUAAUGUUGUACUCCCUCCGUCCUACUAAGAUGAAUUUUUUAGAAAUUUCACAUUCUUUAAGAAAUAUUGUAUAAAGACAAUUUUAACCUCUUAAUAUACUUUAAAAAUAAUAAUAAAUAUUUAUCUAAUUAUUUAGUAAGGGUAAAACAGGAAAAAAAAGUUUAUAACAUUAAGAAGAUUUGAAUAACAUUAAAAA